This 93-nucleotide microRNA precursor is filed under the name Lucilia cuprina (Australian sheep blowfly). Its description in RNAcentral is "mir-965 microRNA precursor family". It matches the Rfam family "mir-965 microRNA precursor family". Lineage: Eukaryota; Metazoa; Arthropoda; Insecta; Diptera; Calliphoridae. The record is from Rfam by way of RNAcentral.
UUUUUGAGGGGUAACGCUGUACGUUAUAUGUUUUUUUUACACAAAUAUAUGACUAUUUUAUAUUCAUAAGCGUAUAGCUUUUCCCCUUAAAUG